Molecule: long non-coding RNA, 678 nt
Organism: Populus euphratica (Euphrates poplar)
Lineage: Eukaryota; Viridiplantae; Streptophyta; Magnoliopsida; Malpighiales; Salicaceae
Exons: 2
Source: RefSeq, a predicted model, not a curated record
UGAGCCAUUCUAGGACCGUCCAAGGGUGCCGUGACACUCCUCUGUAUAUAUAAGCAAAUGGCUGGUGUUAUCUCGUAUUCUUCGAAGGGCGUGGAGUCUGAGCAUAAUUAAGAGCUUUCAUCUUGGAAGCUUUGGUUUGCUGGAAAGGAAUGGAAAUAAGCAAAGGUUGCAGGAGAUUUUGCAUUCUUCUACUCUAUUUGACUAUUGCAGCUACGUCAUUCACUCUUUGCAAUGCAAGAAGAUCAGUGCGCUUAUUUAAAGGUCCAGUGCAUACAAGAAGCUCAGUAAACAGACAUGCAAAGAAAUUAAAAGUGACAGAGCACUUUGACUUGGCUUCAUUACACUGCAAAAGGAAACGAUGGAUUCAUCGAAACCAGUCUCCGAGACAGCAGAGGCCAAUCUCUCUCUCUGAUGUUUCAUUUCUAAAUAAAUUUAUAGGGUCAUUUUACGAUCUGUCAAGGCACGAAUUUUGUAAGUAGUGCUCCUUAGGUGGGUCCCCAGGUAGAUUAGGCUUGGAUUUCUAUUUCUAUUUCUUUUUAGGUUAUCAUCCUCGUCAUGAAAUUCUUCUUUUUGUACAAGGGACCUCCCUGUAUUUCUCCCGUGUCAGUUGUAUUAACUCGAAUAAACAUAUAAACAGGACGUGCAGUAAUUCCAAUUGCAUGUUUUAUUCCUGUGAUC